This is a long non-coding RNA of Lathyrus oleraceus (garden pea), 880 nucleotides long. RefSeq lists it as uncharacterized. NCBI's taxonomy places the organism in Eukaryota, Viridiplantae, Streptophyta, Magnoliopsida, Fabales, Fabaceae. The record is from RefSeq and is a predicted model, not a curated record. The transcript is spliced from 2 exons.
GUUUUCUCCUCUUCUUUCUCUCUCUUCUCUAUGAUUCUCUCUCUAUUCUCUCAACCAUCUCUACCUUUGGCCACCCUAUGUUCUUCACCACCACUGUCCAAACCACCGUCUUCUUCAAUAUUCCGGUUGAACUUCAACUAGAAAAUUCAAACACUCAAACACCUUAUCCCUAGAACCUUCAAACCAAGCCCCAAAACCUUCAUAACCCCACGAACCCUAACGAACCCCAUGAACCCUCACUAAGUUCAGAUGAAGCCUAAAUGGGUUCGGAUGAAUCCUAACCCUUUCCAAAUGAACCUUAGGGUUCCUUACAUGAACCCUAACCCUAAAAAUUACCCAAAAACCCCCAAACCCACAUCAAAACAUGGAUUGAACAUUAACCCCAACAAAUCCCAAAAUAUAUCACAAAAUCGAACCCCAAUCAAUAAAGAAAACACGGCUAACAAGCAUAAAUGUCAAAGCAACAUUUAAAGAGGAAAAUAACCAACCUUCGGAGACGCGACUUUCUCAGGUCCUAAUAGAGUGGAGGUCAAGCUCGCGUACAAUUAGGGUUUGAUGAUAACCUUAAUCAACCGGAUUUCAAAGCUCUUUCGAGGGUUAGAGAUUUCUGCUGCUAUCGAUUUCGGGGUCCCCUCUUAUGAUUUAGGUUCCGAUUUUUAUAGAAUUAGGAUUUAGGUUUUAGUUUUAAUUUUGAUUUGUAGUUUUAGGAAGUUUUCAAUUGAUUGAUUAGGAUUCAGAUUUUAAUUUUAAUUAAGUUUGAUUUUGUUUAGAAAUAGGCUUAGGGUUUGAGAUUUGGUUAUAUCGGGACUGAUUUUGUUUGUAAAUUACUAAUUUAAAUGUAUUUGUGUUCAAUAAUAGAAAGAAUGGAUUGGAUUUCGAA